This is a non-coding RNA of Vicia faba (fava bean), 231 nucleotides long. NCBI's taxonomy places the organism in Eukaryota, Viridiplantae, Streptophyta, Magnoliopsida, Fabales, Fabaceae. The record is from the annotation of a GenBank genome assembly.
AUGGAAAGUGUGAUUGAAGAAGAUAUUGUGAUUGUAGGAGCUGGAAUUGCUGGCCUCACAACCUCCUUGGGACUACACAGAUUGGGAAUAAAAAGUUUGGUAUUAGAAAGUUCAUAUAGUUUAAGAGCGAGUGGAUUUGCACUAACAACAUGGAGAAAUGCUUGGAAGGCUUUGGAUGCUGUCGGUGUUGGACACAUCCUACGCCACCAACAUAUACAGCUUCACGGGUAA